Molecule: long non-coding RNA, 575 nt
Organism: Pteronotus mesoamericanus
Lineage: Eukaryota; Metazoa; Chordata; Mammalia; Chiroptera; Mormoopidae
Exons: 4
Source: RefSeq, a predicted model, not a curated record
AUGAAGCCAGGAGCCCCAGGGAAUGGCAGUAGCACCAGGGGCGGACGCAGCAAGGAACGGGUCCUCGGGAGCUUCCAGAGGCGACGCAGCUCUGCUGUCUGUCACCUUGAUUUAAGCCAAGGGGAACUGAGCUUGCAUUUCUGCCUUCCAAAAUUAGCAUCUAGGCCUUGUGGCUCACUCGACAUACUGUUAGAUUCCCGCCAGUCACGCAGCUGCCUAAUCCUACGAUUGAGGACCGGGCACAAUGAAGUUAUGUGAUUGCCCACCACACAAAGCAAACUUUUCAAUGCAGCCACCCUAGCAGUGCUGAAGACUCCAGCUACUGGAUUCAUUUCAAUUCUGGUGAUCAAGGCUGACCGCCGUACGACCUUGGCAGGGCGGGGGUAAUGAGGAGUCCACCGCCUUGCCUCCUUACGUGCAGGCCAAACACAGUUACCAGGCAACACAACCCUGAAGUGGAAAAUUCCACAAGCCUGCCUUUUUCAUAAACUCACGGUUUUUUUUUUCAAAAAGGCUUGCACAAGCCCACUUUGUCCCCAGCUUAUAAAAGCAGCCAAUCAGAACCCCCACCCCAC